UGACCAGUAUGGUAAUGUGGGGUUCCGGUGAUCAGUAUGGGUGUAAGGUGACAAGUAUGGGUAUAAGGUGACAAGUAUGGGUGUAAGGUGACAAGUAUGGGUGUAAGGUGACCAGUAUGGGUGUAAGGUGAUCAGUAUGGUAAUGUGGGGUUUCGGUGAUCAGUAUGGGUGUAAGGUGACCAGUAUGGGUGUAAGGUGACCAGUAUGGGUGUAAGGUGACAAGUAUGGGUGUAAGGUGACAAGUAUGGGUGUAAGGUGACAAGUAUGGGUGUAAGGUGACCAGUAUGGUAAUGUGGGGUUCCGGUGACCAGUAUGGGUGUAUGGUGACAAGUAUGGGUGUAAGGUGACAAGUAUGGGUGUAAGGUGACAAGUAUGGGUGUAAGGUGACAAGUAUGGGUGUAAGGUGACCAGUAUGGUAAUGUGGGGUUCCGGUGACCAGUAUGGGUGUAUGGUGACAAGUAUGGGUGUAAGGUGACAAG
This is a long non-coding RNA of Haliotis rubra (blacklip abalone), 479 nucleotides long. RefSeq lists it as uncharacterized. NCBI's taxonomy places the organism in Eukaryota, Metazoa, Mollusca, Gastropoda, Lepetellida, Haliotidae. The record is from RefSeq and is a predicted model, not a curated record. The transcript has 4 exons.